Molecule: ribosomal RNA, 1738 nt
Filed under: Salmonella enterica
Lineage: Bacteria; Pseudomonadati; Pseudomonadota; Gammaproteobacteria; Enterobacterales; Enterobacteriaceae
Description: partial 23S ribosomal RNA
Rfam family: Bacterial large subunit ribosomal RNA
Source: RNAcentral
ACUAUGUGUUGUUGGGUAGGGGAGCGUUCUGUAAGCCUGUGAAGGUGUGUCGUGAGGCAUGCUGGAGGUAUCAGAAGUGCGAAUGCUGACAUAAGUAACGAUAAAGCGGGUGAAAAGCCCGCUCGCCGGAAGACCAAGGGUUCCUGUCCAACGUUAAUCGGGGCAGGGUGAGUCGACCCCUAAGGCGAGGCCGAAAGGCGUAGUCGAUGGGAAACGGGUUAAUAUUCCCGUACUUGGUGUUACUGCGAAGGGGGGACGGAGAAGGCUAUGUUGGCCGGGCGACGGUUGUCCCGGUUUAAGCGUGUAGGUGUGUGUUCCAGGUAAAUCCGGUUCACUUUAACACUGAGGCGUGACGACGAGGCACUACGGUGCUGAAGCAACAAAUGCCCUGCUUCCAGGAAAAGCCUCUAAGCAUCAGGUAACAUCAAAUCGUACCCCAAACCGACACAGGUGGUCAGGUAGAGAAUACCAAGGCGCUUGAGAGAACUCGGGUGAAGGAACUAGGCAAAAUGGUGCCGUAACUUCGGGAGAAGGCACGCUGACACGUAGGUGAAGUGAUUUACUCAUGGAGCUGAAGUCAGUCGAAGAUACCAGCUGGCUGCAACUGUUUAUUAAAAACACAGCACUGUGCAAACACGAAAGUGGACGUAUACGGUGUGACGCCUGCCCGGUGCCGGAAGGUUAAUUGAUGGGGUCAGCGCAAGCGAAGCUCCUGAUCGAAGCCCCGGUAAACGGCGGCCGUAACUAUAACGGUCCUAAGGUAGCGAAAUUCCUUGUCGGGUAAGUUCCGACCUGCACGAAUGGCGUAAUGAUGGCCAGGCUGUCUCCACCCGAGACUCAGUGAAAUUGAACUCGCUGUGAAGAUGCAGUGUACCCGCGGCAAGACGGAAAGACCCCGUGAACCUUUACUAUAGCUUGACACUGAACAUUGAGCCUUGAUGUGUAGGAUAGGUGGGAGGCUUUGAAGUGUGGACGCCAGUCUGCAUGGAGCCGACCUUGAAAUACCACCCUUUAAUGUUUGAUGUUCUAACGUGGACCCGUGAUCCGGGUUGCGGACAGUGUCUGGUGGGUAGUUUGACUGGGGCGGUCUCCUCCUAAAGAGUAACGGAGGAGCACGAAGGUUGGCUAAUCCUGGUCGGACAUCAGGAGGUUAGUGCAAUGGCAUAAGCCAGCUUGACUGCGAGCGUGACGGCGCGAGCAGGUGCGAAAGCAGGUCAUAGUGAUCCGGUGGUUCUGAAUGGAAGGGCCAUCGCUCAACGGAUAAAAGGUACUCCGGGGAUAACAGGCUGAUACCGCCCAAGAGUUCAUAUCGACGGCGGUGUUUGGCACCUCGAUGUCGGCUCAUCACAUCCUGGGGCUGAAGUAGGUCCCAAGGGUAUGGCUGUUCGCCAUUUAAAGUGGUACGCGAGCUGGGUUUAGAACGUCGUGAGACAGUUCGGUCCCUAUCUGCCGUGGGCGCUGGAGAACUGAGGGGGGCUGCUCCUAGUACGAGAGGACCGGAGUGGACGCAUCACUGGUGUUCGGGUUGUCAUGCCAAUGGCACUGCCCGGUAGCUAAAUGCGGAAGAGAUAAGUGCUGAAAGCAUCUAAGCACGAAACUUGCCCCGAGAUGAGUUCUCCCUGAGACUUAAAGUCUCCUGAAGGAACGUUGAAGACGACGACGUUGAUAGGCCGGGUGUGUAAGCGCAGCGAUGCGUUGAGCUAACCGGUACUAAUGAACCGUGAGGCUUAACCUUACA